Molecule: long non-coding RNA, 531 nt
Organism: Megachile rotundata (alfalfa leafcutting bee)
Lineage: Eukaryota; Metazoa; Arthropoda; Insecta; Hymenoptera; Megachilidae
Source: RefSeq, a predicted model, not a curated record
AGAUUAAAAGUGUUACGAUUACAAGGAGAAAAAGAAGACGAUGAUGCAACGAACGAAUAUGCUGACGUGCUGCAGACGCGUUCGAUUGAAGUGGACCGAUAGGAUCUGAUAAAUCAGCAAGCAUUCGAAGACAAGCGAGAAAUCGCUGGAUUUGAUCGAAGAUGGGUCAUUCACGAGCCUACGUCCGCGUCCUUGAGGUCCUUUACGUUUCGUCGGCGUCGCAACGUCGACUCAGCAAUCGCGCACGUCGACGAUUUUUUUCGAAACUGAAGAAUUCCUGGCCACCGUUCGACCUGGUGAACAGCUGAUCGUAUCAACCUUGUCGACAAGCUGAGAGAGAGCCUCCUCGCUACACGACCCUCUAACUUAAAUAAGGACGCUCUUCCGGAUCAGGUAUGAGAUCUUCUGGGAUGAUUAUUUGGAAUUUUUUGAAAAUAACAUUUUUUGGACUUUGAUGGACUUUGUGGACACAGUUUACAUUAUUGUAUUAAUGUUAGAUAUGCUACAUUAAUUUUUAUGAGAACUUUUAAG